UACAGAGGUCUCAAGCGUUGUUCGGAUUCAUUGGGCGUAAAGGGUGCGUAGGUGGCGGGGUAAGUCUGGUGUGAAAUCUCGGGGCUCAACCCCGAAACUGCACUGGAUACUGCCUUGCUCGAGUACUGGAGAGGAGAUUGGAAUUUACGGUGUAGCAGUGAAAUGCGUAGAUAUCGUAAGGAAGACCAGUGGCGAAGGCGAAUCUCUGGACAGUUACUGACACUGAGGCACGAAGGCCAGGGGAGCAAACGGG
This 253-nucleotide ribosomal RNA is filed under the name uncultured bacterium. RNAcentral describes it as "partial 16S ribosomal RNA". It matches the Rfam family "Bacterial small subunit ribosomal RNA", at positions 524 to 776 of the family's 1533-position model. RNAcentral also lists the same sequence under 1 other name. The record is from RNAcentral.